UCCCCCUGGGUCUGUCUCGGUGCGCCAGACUGGCAACAUGGGGGAAUAAGGCUCCUCCAGAAGGGACGGCCAUCCUGUCCCUCGUCGGCGAGCUGUCAGACUCUGCCACCUCUUGCACGUAGAACAUUCCUCCCUCCCAGAUGGCUCACCCACCUCCGGGUCCCCAGCAGCUGCCCGAUGUUUCGCUCCCGCAGGGGCCGGCCCCAUCACUCGGAGUCCAGGUCUUGCUCACGCACUUUGGUUCAAAGCCCACGUGCUCAGCACUUCUUCCCACCCUGGCUGAAUUGCUGAAUCCCCACCACAGACCUGCUGAAAUCCCGCCACAGAAUUGCUGAACCCCUCCACAGAAUAACCGAAGCCUCACAACAGAACUGCCAAAGGCUUGCAGCAAAGUCACCGUACCCAACGGGAAACUUCCCGCACCCAGCAGUAAACUUCCCGCACCGCGUGGGGACUACCCUCGUGCCGCAGGACUCCGCCCAGCUCCAGAGCCAUUGGGAAGAUUUCCUGGAGGAGAUGGGUCUGUGCUAACUCUUGAAGCAUAAGUUGAGUUUGGAUUGACUGAGAAGAUGAAUCAGCACCAUGGAAGUUUAACAAGCCCUGAGGAAGAUCAGAGAGUUGAGAGAUAAGUCAACCACUCAUUCUACAUUGGAUGACACUUAAGAAAUGGCAAGCCCGGUGCUCAGUGUCAAGGAUAAAGAGAUAAAUUUCUAUAUUUUCUCCCUUUAGAAGAAAGAAUCAUUUCAGAAGAGCCCAGGUUGAGGAGCACCAGGUGAUACCAAACAGACUGAGGGAUAAAAAGGCAUGAGAAAUUCUGUGGAAAUAAGAGUUCUUCAGACCAAGAAUGGAGAAUCUUAAGUACAUACUUCGUUAACACACUAGGAUAUAAGCUUCCUACACAGGUCAGCAAUUUUCUUGUCCCUAAAUUGAAUGCUGGAAGAAGGGAAGUCAGAACCAGCAACACAGCAUCAUUUUGGGAGAAGGGGAUGUAUUGACUAAGACAUUCUCCCUCCUCUGAAGUGAGCCCUAUUUCCAGUGGAUUUGGUUCCAAGACCUAGAAAGUAGAGUUGGGAGCUAGGGAAGGAUUCUUCAAAAUAUUGAGAUCUCAUCUCUGAUGAAAAAGAACAACAAAAAUAAAUAAACAAUGCUCCUUCA
Molecule: long non-coding RNA, 1155 nt
Organism: Panthera uncia (snow leopard)
Lineage: Eukaryota; Metazoa; Chordata; Mammalia; Carnivora; Felidae
Exons: 5
Source: RefSeq, a predicted model, not a curated record